GUUGGUAAUCUCUUAUUUGAGACUCCUUAGUUGUCGCUGUUAGAAGUGACUUCUGCUAGCAGGCAGCUGUUUCUGCCAUUUACACGUAAUCAGAUCAUCACAGGGCCGGCAGAGCCCUUAAGCCACUCUUCUGCCUUGGCUGGGACCUUUGAGGCCUUCUGGAGUGCUUCCAGAAUCCUCCAUUAUUUUCCUCACACCUCCACUUGGGAAAGGCCAAAAAUGCACUUGGGAUAGAAGACAUCAAGCCCUUCCAAUGGCGACAGAAAGAGCUCUGCCUCACUCUUCCUCCCUCUCUUCUCUGUGGUCAUGAAGAAAGUGGUGCAAAUGUUUCCAGCAAGGAAAAGAUUGGUCUUGUUAGCUACCAGGAGAACAGAACCGUGUGUCCCCAGGGGUGUCUGGAGCUCACAGGCAGAGGCAAAGGAAAGUCCCCUGAAACAACAAACGAGGAGGAAUAGGACAAUGCAUCUUAAAGCACCAGAGCCUGCUUCCCGACCAUCUUAUAGUCAGUCACAACACACAGAGCUACAGUAGUCACCUUGCCAUCUGUGACAGGAGACAACAACACUGCACUCAACAUCACAAGAUGAAAAAGAAAAUAUCAAGGGUUUCUGAAAAGAUCGUUGUAUCAUUGAACACUGAAACCACAUGCCUUCAGAAUUCUCGCGUGAUAUAGAAACGAGCUUCAUGCUUUCAGCCAUGACUUGAUGCCAAUAGAUUACCCAAGACCAAAACAAGCAACUCUGGACCAAGAUGAGUCUUCGCUGUUGCCCACCCCUUAUCUACCGGGUUGCAUGGUUCCCAAAAAGAAUUUAGAAAUGGAGCAAAUAACACAUAUUUUGUUGAGGACCUAUUAUGUGCUGGGUACAAUGCUAGGUGCUAAGGGUACAAGGAUGGACAAAGCAGACAAGGUCAUUGUGAUCAUGGAAGACCAACGGCGAGCAGGCAAAUGAGAGAAAGUGAAAAGAUUCCCUGGCAGCUUUAAGAAAUAUCAGUUUGCGCUACUCCUAAAUGUAAACUUAGACUCCGAAAUCAGAUCUGGAUUCAGAUUUCAUCGCUGCCACGUACUAUAGCCCUGAGAAGGCUGUUUAAUCUUUCUGGUACCGCUUUCCUCAUCCAACAGGUUAAACAAUGAAAGAACUCAGUCCGUAGUGUGGUUUCGAGGAUUUGACUAAUGAGGAAAACUCCAUGAAGUGAUCCACAGAGCCUGGCACACAGUCAGUCUAGAUCCAGAUUGACAUCAGGACCUAGGAAGACUUGUUUUGUUUGUUUGUUCCUUGCCCUGCUGGGAAUCAAACAUGGAACCUUAUACACGCUGGGCAAGAGCUGCACUCCUGAGCUAUACCCCCCACCUACAUGGCCAUGACCAUUCCUAUGGCUCUGCUUGUCAUGAGGUCAACGAGACAUAGACCAUGUGGUAAGGAAACCUGGAAGGCAAGUGUCCAGAUGUGCUCAUAGAAGAAUUAGAAGUGAAGGAGCCAAGAGACAGGAAACGUGAGAAUUCCUCCGGGAACCGGGCUGGCUGGGUCUCCGCUGUCUCCUACAUGCAGAUUGUAGCCGUUAUUUCUCGUGGUCUCAACAGUCUCUGCUAGUCUCUCAAUGUGAUUUCAGUUCCCAGGAGAAUCAAGUGGGCUUUACUUUCUACAGGCAGGUAAGUACCUGGGGAGGAUCUACUUUGUGCUACAUACACAGAUACUCCCGUAAAUGAUCUCAGUGGCCCAGAGUCGCCUCCUCCUUCCCCAUCAGAGUCACAACCUCGUGGGUUCAUUGCUGCAACUUCCAACGGCCUAUCCAGCUAAUAAGACAAAUAUAAACCUGGACCCAUGGGGUCCUCACACCCCUAUCCACACUCUGGCAUCUGCACCGGUCACAGGAGCCCUUGGGUACUGUUGCCUGGCUCCAUC
Mus musculus (house mouse) is the source of this 1901-nucleotide long non-coding RNA. RefSeq annotates it as predicted gene 15831. The record is from RefSeq and is a predicted model, not a curated record. The transcript has 3 exons. NCBI's taxonomy places the organism in Eukaryota, Metazoa, Chordata, Mammalia, Rodentia, Muridae.